GCCCUAGUAGCUCAGCAUAAUAGAGCAUCGGUCUUGUAAUCCGAAGGCCGGAGGUUAAAUCCCCCCCUAGUGCU
RNAcentral lists this transfer RNA (74 nucleotides) under Bathylychnops exilis (javelin spookfish). RNAcentral describes it as "tRNA-Thr". It matches the Rfam family "tRNA". Rfam says of the family: Transfer RNA (tRNA) molecules are approximately 80 nucleotides in length. The record is from RNAcentral. Lineage: Eukaryota; Metazoa; Chordata; Actinopteri; Argentiniformes; Opisthoproctidae.